Molecule: long non-coding RNA, 227 nt
Filed under: Gossypium barbadense (sea-island cotton)
Lineage: Eukaryota; Viridiplantae; Streptophyta; Magnoliopsida; Malvales; Malvaceae
Description: long non-coding RNA (GBAR_LNC004234)
Source: RNAcentral
UUCCACCAGAGUAGUGGGCUUAAACAACCUUAAGUAUUUUUCAAUCUCAGGUUGAAGAUUGUAAAUAAAAAUGCUUAAGGCAUAGCUCUCAAGUAAAUGUAACUGGUUGAGGAGACUCACAAAAUUAUCAUGAUACUAGUCCACUAUACUAACCUGUUUGAAAGCCACCAACUCAGUCAUAGGGUCCAAACAUCUGGCAACACCAAAGCGAUCUUUCAAGCCUCGGA